RNAcentral lists this long non-coding RNA (4138 nucleotides) under Chinchilla lanigera (long-tailed chinchilla). RNAcentral's name for it is "lncRNA (ENSCLAG00000026556.1)". Lineage: Eukaryota; Metazoa; Chordata; Mammalia; Rodentia; Chinchillidae. The record is from RNAcentral.
CCACAACAGACUCCCUGGAGCCUGAGUCUGAGUGCAGACCGGAUCUUCUGCUCUGAACUCGGAUUCGGGACAUGGAUUCGUCAGUGAAAUUCACAAGUGCUGAGGGUGUGGAUCAAUGUGCUCCCAACACCCUUGGAUGUCCGUCUGACCUCACCGCGGUCACCAUGGCGGCACCGCUCAGCCCCGAUGCAGGGGCUGACAUGAGUGUGGUGGAAUUUGAUGAGAACAUGAGCUCUAGGAUGGGAGAGUGUGAACUGCGAUUUGAAGACUGCAGAUCAAAUUCUGUUAGACCUGGAGUAGCUCUCGGCUCCCCGGACCACAAGGAGCCGAAACGUGGGGCCGAGAGGUCCAUAGAUGACGUUGACUCUCUGUUGGGGGAGAGGCUGCACCCCGAGGAGCAGGAACUGCCUGCACAACUGCCCCUGGCCGAGCAGCUGAGGAGUCUGUCCAAAUAUGUGCCUGAGUUCUGCUUAGGGGACCCCGGGAUCUCCUCACAAAACCUGUAUCAGGGCCCCUGUGAGUGCCCCACGCCUCUCUACAGCUCACAUGGCUGCUUCUCGUCCUCCUGGGCUGUCGGUGCUCCUCAUCCGGAAGCAGGAACGGGGGCUCUCGGAGUUAAGCCAUAAGCUGAAAGAAAGGAGAGAAGUGUCACUGCUGCUGAAGGAGCGUCUGGAGGUCCUCCCGAGCAGAGAUCACGCUGACAGCAACAAGGGCUGUGGCCACUAACAGGGUCCACCUGAGGGCUGCAGGCUGGGUGAGGAGCUGGCCCACAACCUCAACCCAUAUGGGGAGGCCUGAGGCCCUAAUUAAGUUGAGCUGCUUUAACGUCCCCAGCUCACGGGACACUGCACUCUCAGAGUGACUUGUUUGGCAACUGUCCUGGUGCCUGUGUCACACUUAGAGCUGUGGCAAAUUCAGGAGUGCCCACGAGGCAAUGCAGGGGAGGAAUACACAGUGUGGACAUCACAGCAUCGCAGCGUCCUUUGUCCCUGAUGGAACCUGGGCUCUGUCCUGAGGGGACCACAUCCAUCGAGUCUGAAAGCUGAGAUCAGGCUGUGGUCGGAGGCAGCCCAUUAGAGUAAAAAUCAUUCUGCUCUAAACAUGAAGUUUCCCAAACCCCAGCCUGAGUGUUUCUCACUAACUGUGUGUGACUGAUCACUUCAUCUCUCCUGAAUUCCCGUCAGAAGAAAGCUCUCGUGGUCUUGGUCACCAUCCUAUGCAGGAAGAGAGCCGUCGUGAAUGCACUUGGGAAAGCUAAGGCCCUCACCCUUUGGGGCUGGUUCAGGCCCUCGGUCCUGUAGGACCGGAGAGGCUUCAGCACCUCCCUCAGAGAGACUUUCCUGGUCCUGACGGCCCGGCCACUGCCUUUCCUUCGCUGUGAGCGAGGAGCCAUAGUACUGGUUACUGGUAACUGAGGACCGCAGUGUCCCUUAGGUUUCCUGUCUGUGCUGUGCUUCCUGUGGGUUUGGGAAGAUGUGUACUGACACGGUCCCAUUCCGGUGUCACGCAGAAUAGUUCCCUGGCCUAAACGUCCACUGUGUCAGUCCGGGCAUCCCUCCCUCUGCCCCUCCCCGAGAGCCCCAACAACCAGGUCUCCGUGUAUCCUCCCUGAUGUGGUUUGCAGUGAUUUCCUCCAUUGUGUGGCUCCCAUCUGAGUGAUCUCAAGAGCAGAGGUCAGUUUUCUCAGUGUGUGACUUACACGUUGUUUCUUUCAUGGACUGUGCCCUUCUGUGCUGGCUAAGAGAUGCUGCAAUCCAGGUCACAUAGAUUUUCUUCUGUGUUGUCUUUUCUCUUGGGAAAAGCUUUUGUUUUUCCCUUGACAUCUGUCAUCCAUUCUGAUUUAAUUCCUGUGAAACUGUAAGGUCUCUGUCUGGAGCUGUGUGUGUGUGUCCAGUGCCUGUGCACUUGUUCCGUUUCUCUCAUUACAGACUCUGCUUUCUGCGUGAGUGGCCCCGGCUCCUUCACGAGCUCCGUCAGUGAGGGCUGAUCCUGGGCUCCGUUCUCAGGAGCUGAGGAGCGGUGCCUGUUCUCCCAGCCCCUGCCCAGUCAGAGCUUUGGCUUUGGCAUCUGUCCUUCUUCUGUUUGUUCUUUUAGGUCCUCUGACUCCAAAUAAACUUGAGAAUCUAUCUGAUGUCUUCAGAGUUGUCUGCUGGUUUUACAUUGUCACUGCUUGGAACUGCUAGAUGGAGAACUGGAAAACUUUCAGGCUGACAGUCCUGAGCCUAACGCACAUAUGUGGAUGAUGUCUGCAUUGAUGUAGCUCCAAUCUUGUCCUUAUGCAUGUUUUGCUAAGUUUGCACAUUAGAACUUCAUUCAAUUUGCUACUAUUUGUCGCUGGCACUGUGUUUCAGUUCAAAUUCCACAUAUUCGUUCCUUGCAUGCGUUAGAGGGCAAUGGAUUGGUGCUGCCUGUGGAGCCUGAAUUCUUGCUAUAGUUUCUUCUAUUCCCAGCAAGUGUUUGUUGUUGAUAUUGUUUUUUUAUUUUAAAGUUUUUAAAAGAUAGAUAGUCAUGUUCUUUUCAGUGCUACAGAAUGCUCUACAUUUGAGUUCUGACACCAGCUAGGUACUUAAUUUUGUUUCUUUCAAUGUUUGUUUUUUAAUUUAAACACUUUUGUUCCCUCUUCCUUUUGCAUUCAGUGUUUGGAGAUUUCUGUUGAUAUUUUUGAGGUGAUAUGUUUUUUCCAAGUCAUAGCUAGUGUGUUCUGAUCUGGGCAAGGCCUUCUGCUCUUCUGCUGUGCUUGGUUUGUAUCAGUGGCUCCUCUGUCCACUGCCUCCCUUUCCCAUGGAACUCUGGGUCUGUUCUGUGCACUGCAGUGUUGACUUGUGCUGAAAACGCUAAAGGUCUGCUUGGUCUGCUCUCCCUGCAAACACUGUCCUCUGCAGUUUAGUCAUUUUCCAAAUGUUUCUUGGAAGCCCGUCAUGAGCAGCUGCGUGACGUGACUGGAGGCUGAUCCAGGGUCCAUGGAGGGUCUGUGUUUCUCUUCUAGGGUUGGAGCUGUAGUUCCCACAGAUGAAAGUCUCCUGUGCUCCCCUUGUUCCUGUCUACUCCAGUGUCUUGCGUUCUCUCCCUCUCUCCUUCUGUCUCUAUUUUUUGUUUUUUGAGACAGGAUUUUGCUAUGCAGUACAGGCUGGCCUUGAGCUCCCAGUGGUCAUCCUGCCUCAGCCUCCAGAGUCCUGUGAUUACAGGCAUGGACCAGCACACCCAGCCCUUGGCAUCCCCUUGAUGGCUCUGCUAAAAGUCUGUGCCUGUGGUUCUUCGGAGUCGCUGCUCUGCUCCCACACAAGGGCGGUGCAGCUGGGCAGGCAGGUGUGGAAGGAGAGGAAGCAGGGCACAGGCCUGGGAUGCAGUCUCCGGGUCUCCUGAGCCGGAGCCCAGGGCUGUCACCUUCCCGGCAGCAUGUCAGUGUGCCUGCCCCCUCUGCCCUCUGCACAGCAGCCUGAGUUUCCCCUGUGUCCAUGAAGUAUGAGCAGGCGCACGGAUGUUGAGGUAAUGGAAUGCUCGCGUGUUGCCUCAGAAGAGGAGACCUCAUGCCCGCUCCUAACCCUGAGCAGAUAUUUCCAUUUCUGUGCCAGGGAAGGAUGGUGUCUGUGAUGGGGGACGGUAGCCUCUCAGUGCCUGGCUGCUCAUUUGUGAAUUUGCUUAGAUUCCAGAGAAUUUGCAGAAAUUCCAGAGGCGGAGAACAGCUUUACACUGGAAAGGCUCCUUGGGAUGGACUCAGAGAAAUCCCUGGCAAUGUCCCAAUCACUGUGCAACCACCCGUGUACACUCGGCUACUUUUCCUCAUUGCUCAGCACAUGCUGUGUUGUCAUGUAUGACCAGGCCCGAAAGCUGACUUCCCGUUGUGAGUUCUGCGCUCCCUUCUCCCUGGGCAUUUCAGGUUCAUCAUUAAAGAGCUGAGCUUCAAUUCAAAGCCUGUAGAGCAGUUUCAGAGGUGGAGAUCCAUCCUGUUUGAACUGCGCCAGACUCUGAUGGACCUGCUGAACCAGGGUGGGCCUGCGUGUCACCUGGAGCAGAGCCACCAAAAACACCAUGCAGAGUGGUGCAAGCAGGUCCAGAACCUCCUCCUCCAGCUGGGCCUAGGUGAGGCGGCCGCAGGCUGAUCUGCCUUGAUUUCUGUUUGCUCAUCUCACAUGUCUCA